GACGAACGCUGGCGGCGGGCUUAACACAUGCAAGUCGAACGGAAAGGCCCUGCUUUUGUGGUGUGCUCGAGUGGCGAACGGGUGAGUAACACGUGAGUAACCUGCCCUUGACUUUGGGAUAACUUCAGGAAACUGGGGCUACUACCGGAUAGGAGCUCCUGCUGCAUGGUGGGCAUUGGAAAGUUUCGGCUGGUGGGGAUGGACGCGCGGCUUAUCAGCUUGUUGGUGGGGUAGUGGCUUACCAAGGCUUUGAAGGGUAGCCGGCCUGAGAGGGUGACCGGCGACCAUGGGACUGAGGGACGGAGCAGAGUGCUAUGGGAGGCAGUAGGGGGGAAUAUUGCCCAAUGGGAGCAAGUGUGAUGCAGAGGCGCUGCGUGCGGGAUGACGGUCUGCGGGUAGAAAACCGCUGUCGCCUGUGACGACGCGUGAGUGACGGUAAUGGGUAAAGAAGCACCGGCUAACUACGUG
This 468-nucleotide ribosomal RNA is filed under the name uncultured bacterium. RNAcentral describes it as "partial 16S ribosomal RNA". It matches the Rfam family "Bacterial small subunit ribosomal RNA", at positions 28 to 507 of the family's 1533-position model. The record is from RNAcentral.